This is a long non-coding RNA of Triticum aestivum (bread wheat), 735 nucleotides long. RefSeq lists it as uncharacterized. The record is from RefSeq and is a predicted model, not a curated record. NCBI's taxonomy places the organism in Eukaryota, Viridiplantae, Streptophyta, Magnoliopsida, Poales, Poaceae. The transcript has 3 exons.
ACCCCUGAUCCACUCCCACCCCUGUCCUCUGCCCCCUAGAUCUCCUUGCCGCCGCCACCUCCGCCUCUCACCCCUCCUCCGCCUUUCUCUCCCCCAUUCGCGUCGCCUCUCCUUCUCCUCCCCCUCCACCUCCCCGUGUCUCGAGAAACCCUCCCAUGGCGGAGUCGCCCGAGAACUCCACUGCGGUGCCCGCUCCACCCGCCGCUCCUUCUCUAGCCCCUCCCGCCCAUCCGCCCGCCCCCCUAGGUUCCACCAUGGCGCCACUCGUCUUGGCUCAUGUCCUGCUAGCGCGGCCUGGCCGGCAUCGUCGGAGGGAACAAGGCUAAGGUCUCGGCCGAGGUCGCCCCGGAUCCGGAGGACGCCACCGAGCACGGGCGUCGGGGGGAGGCCGAUGAGGAGACGCGGCGGUAAGAUUGUCAAGCACGACCUCUAGUCCAAGGAGCUCCCCAACACCGCAUCGAGCCUGACUGCCGGUGGUUAGGAAAUACACGAGUUAUCAAUCAGAAAAAACUUGAAUAUUUUAGGCAAGAACUCCAGGCAAGGCUUACAAAUAACUACAGUAUGUUAAUGAAAUCUAAACAGCUGCCACUAUCGCUUCUACAGGAUCAUCAGAAGGUUCGCUCAUGUUGAUUAUACAGCAAGCUCGUGCACAUCUUCUUGACACUGAACCUUUUGAGCAUGCCGCCGCCGUCUCCGUCAUGCGCCCUCCACUCGAGUGCGGCAGAAUCACCUUCU